UGCAGUCUUUUAAGAGUUUCGAUGUACUCUUUUAAGAGUUUCAUUUAGGGGGAGAUUUCAUAAAUAAUAUUAUGUUUUUAGUUUAUUUUUGUGUCGUCUGAUUAUCCUCUCAUAGUUUGCAACAAUUAGUUUCCGCAUGACACCCUCUCGAUUUCGAAUCCAACAAGUGUUAUCAGAGUUUAGGGUUCAAUGGUCCCAUGGUGUGGUGAGACGAGAUUAAACAGGUUCAAAGCGGUUUCAAAAUCAUGCUGCAAAAGUUUGGCGAUAAUGAAGAUUUUUGUCUAGCUACAUGUGGAGGAGCUUAAAGCAUAUUUUCAACAUUCCUGGUGUUAUAUCUUUAAAAAUAAAAAAUAAGAUAUUUUUUAAAUCAUUUUAAAUCCAUAAUAUUUUAAACUUUAUUUUUAAUCAUUACAAACAAUAGUUAUGCAGAUUACACGAAGAAAGAGAUGAUGAACAAUUUUGUAAAAAUUCAGGCCAAGGGGAGAGAUGAUGAACAAGUUUGCAAGAAAAUUAAGGCCAAGGAGAGAUUUGCUAGGAUUCUACCAUAAUUGUGUUUUACUCCGAAAAGAAUUUCUUAGUAGAAAAAGUUUACUAGUAGGAAAAAAAGAUCUCUUUCCUGUUAGAUUU
This 627-nucleotide long non-coding RNA is filed under the name Capsicum annuum. RNAcentral describes it as "long non-coding RNA (CANN_LNC003937)". The record is from RNAcentral. Lineage: Eukaryota; Viridiplantae; Streptophyta; Magnoliopsida; Solanales; Solanaceae.